This 253-nucleotide ribosomal RNA is filed under the name uncultured bacterium. RNAcentral's name for it is "partial 16S ribosomal RNA". It matches the Rfam family "Bacterial small subunit ribosomal RNA", at positions 524 to 776 of the family's 1533-position model. The record is from RNAcentral.
UACGGAGGGGACUAGCGUUGUUCGGAAUUACUGGGCGUAAAGCGCACGUAGGCGGAUUUGUAAGUCAGGGGUGAAAUCCCGGGGCUCAACCUCGGAACUGCCUUUGAUACUGCAAAUCUCGAGUCCGAUAGAGGUGAGUGGAAUUCCUAGUGUAGAGGUGAAAUUCGUAGAUAUUAGGAAGAACACCAGUGGCGAAGGCGGCUCACUGGAUCGGUACUGACGCUGAGGUGCGAAAGCGUGGGGAGCAAACAGG